RNAcentral lists this ribosomal RNA (433 nucleotides) under uncultured bacterium. RNAcentral describes it as "partial 16S ribosomal RNA". It matches the Rfam family "Bacterial small subunit ribosomal RNA", at positions 29 to 507 of the family's 1533-position model. The record is from RNAcentral.
AAUGAACGCUGGCGGCAGGCCUAACACAUGCAAGUCGAGCGAGGACUUCGGUCUUAGCGGCGGACGGGUGAGUAACGCGUGGUAACGUGCCCUUUGCUUCGGAAUCGUCCUUGGAAUCUGGUAUUAAUACCGGUAGAGCCCUUUGGUGGAAAGAUUUAUCGGCGAAGGAUCGGCCCGCGUUGGAUUAGGUAGUUGGUGGGGUAAUGGCCUACCAAGCCGACGAUCCAUAGCUGGUUUGAGAGGAUGAUCAGCCACACUGGGACUGAGACACGGCCCAGACUCCUACGGGAGGCAGCAGUGGGGAAUCUUAGACAAUGGGGGAAACCCUGAUCGAGCCAUGCCGCGUGAGCGAUGAAGGCCUUAGGGUUGUAAAGCUCUUUCAGCUGGGAAGAUAAUGACGGUACCAGCAGAAGAAGCCCCGGCUAACUCCGUG